Molecule: ribosomal RNA, 329 nt
Filed under: Enterobacter sp. SMg12Eb
Lineage: Bacteria; Pseudomonadati; Pseudomonadota; Gammaproteobacteria; Enterobacterales; Enterobacteriaceae
Description: bacterial SSU rRNA
Rfam family: Bacterial small subunit ribosomal RNA
Source: RNAcentral
CUUUCGCGGGGAGGAAGGCGAUGAGGUUAAUAACCUUGUCGAUUGACGUUACCCGCAGAAGAAGCACCGGCUAACUCCGUGCCAGCAGCCGCGGUAAUACGGAGGGUGCAAGCGUUAAUCGGAAUUACUGGGCGUAAAGCGCACGCAGGCGGUCUGUCAAGUCGGAUGUGAAAUCCCCGGGCUCAACCUGGGAACUGCAUUCGAAACUGGCAGGCUAGAGUCUUGUAGAGGGGGGUAGAAUUCCGGGUGUAGCGGUGAAAUGCGUAGAGAUCUGGAGGAAUACCGGUGGCGAAGGCGGCCCCCUGGACAAAGACUGACGCUCAGGUGCG